RNAcentral lists this ribosomal RNA (460 nucleotides) under uncultured bacterium. RNAcentral's name for it is "partial 16S ribosomal RNA". It matches the Rfam family "Bacterial small subunit ribosomal RNA", at positions 338 to 795 of the family's 1533-position model. The record is from RNAcentral.
CCUACGGGUGGCAGCAGUGAGGAAUAUUGGUCAAUGGGCUUACGCCUGAACCAGCCAAGUCGCGUGAGGGAAGACUGCCCUAUGGGUUGUAAACCUCUUUUGUCAGGGAGCAAUUGGCGCUACGUGUAGCGUUAUCGAGAGUACCUGAAGUAAAAGCAUCGGCUAACUCCGUGCCAGCAGCCGCGGUAAUACGGAGGAUGCGAGCGUUAUCUGGAUUUAUUGGGUUUAAAGGGUGCGUAGGCGGAAUGCCAAGUCAGCGGUAAAAUCGCGGGGCUCAACCUCGCUCCGCCUUUGAAACUGGCGUACUUGAGUGAGCGAGAGGUAUGCGGAAUGCGAGGUGUAGCGGUGAAAUGCGUAGAUAUCACGCAGAACACCGAUUGCGAAGGCAGCAUACCGGCGCCCAACUGACGCUGAAGCACGAAAGCGUGGGUAGCGAACAGGAUUAGAUACCCCAGUAGUC